Brassica rapa (field mustard) is the source of this 4142-nucleotide long non-coding RNA. RefSeq lists it as uncharacterized. The record is from RefSeq and is a predicted model, not a curated record. NCBI's taxonomy places the organism in Eukaryota, Viridiplantae, Streptophyta, Magnoliopsida, Brassicales, Brassicaceae.
GGUGAAAUGUCCUUUAAGCUCCAAAAUGCUCCAAAGUCAUAGCUUUACUCCGAAAUGCACCUGAACUUGAAAACAUACCUAGAAGAGUAGAAAACAUAUAUAUAUAUAGUAAAAAUACAUAUAUACCAUGGAUAAAAAUGGGUCAAAUCCAAGGUAUAUCAAUAACCUUAUAAAAAUUCCCUUAUACAUUAAAAGAGAAGUCACUUUAGUGAUUUCUGCUGACGUGACACUCACAUAGAGCUUCUCAGGAAAAUUCUUAUAAUUCCAUUGGCUGAUUUUUUGGAAUUUUUCUUUUUCAAUUAUUUUAUUCACUCGCUUCCGCGGAUUUGAAAACGCCGUCGUAUGUCAUGAAGUUUUUUUUUUUUUUUCAAUCGCGUAUCAAUUGAAGGGGAAUAUGGUUUCAAACCGAUGAAGACAGUCCGACCAGAUGAGUUUGCCUCUCCAUACUCUGAAGACUCAAUCAUAUCCAUCGCGUCAAGAAGCAACAACCAGAUGAGUUUCCUUCUCUCCACCAUCGAUUACAUCGACGAUGUGAUGUUUGUCGAUACUCUCGGAAUUUACAGAUUUUUUGGUUUCUCUGAUUGGAUUAGACUUUUAAGCUAUGAGGCGAAGAUUUUUUUGAUUUCUCUGAUUGGAUUCGACUUUUAAGCUAUGAUACAAAGAUUUUUUGGUUUCUCUGAUUGGAUUCGACAUAUGUUAAGCUAUAAACUACGAUCUACUUAUUAACAUUUUGAAUCUUUGUAUCUAAUUGACUGAUUAACCUUCUUGUUGUUGAAGUCUUGAUUCUCUUAAACAAUAACAUUCAGCUUCACCAUCGAAUCCAUUGCCACGACCAGAGAAGUAUUUCGUGGACUGUCUACUGAUGGAACAAGAAGAGACAACUGACAUUUACAACAAACUUGGAUUCGACUUCAGUCUCUGAAGAAGGACUGUAAGAUUAUCUUCUCCUUAAUAACUCAACAAGCAUUUAGACAGUUCUCUCUUGAGAUUUUCAAGUUUGGUUUUCUGUUUCAUUAGCAUGAUUUAGAGCUUCACAUUACUAAUUCCGAGAGUCUGUUGCAUCGCUAAUUGCAGCACGAUUUAGAGCUUCACAUUACUAAUUUAGUCAGUUGGUUUCAUUCCUUGCGGUUUCCGGUCUGUUGGUUUUCGAAUUUUCAAGUUUGGUCUUCUUAAUUAUGAGAAAAAAAUAUCUUUAGCCUAUUUAGAAAAGCCCAAAUAUAUUGUCUAUUUAGUUAAGCCCAUAUAUUUAUUCGCUUGGGGGAUAAUAAUUAGAUAACUUGCGCUAGAUUGUUAACUAAUUUGCAUAUUAAUAACUUUCCUUAUUAUUCGAAUCAAUUGCGUGCGCCGGUUGUUACCAUAUUUAUUACAUUACUUGCGCAAGUUAAAAUUAUAUCAUAUGAAAAUCAUUUUUUGACAAUACACAAUUAGUAUCUUUCUUUAAACGAUUUCAAUCUUUAUUAGGGGUCACUAAUAUGAUAAAUAAAUCGGCUUGAUAUAUAUAGGAGACACCCGAAUGCUUAAAAUACUAACAUUCAGCUCUUACAAGAACAAUGGCAAUGGUGCGAGCCAAAAAAAAUAUUGUUUCUUAUGUGAGAGAAUUAAAACCCCGUAAAGAUACGUCGCGUAUUGAAGUUAGGAUUGUUCGCUUGUGGAAAAACUAUAACAAAGAAUCAGGAAACACCAUUGAAAUGGUGGUUGUUGAUAAAGAAGUAAGUAUACAUCACGCAAAAUAGAUUUUUUUGGAAGCAUCGUUUAAUAUACUUAUUCUGCGUUUAUAAAACUCUUAUAAUUUUUGUGACCAGGGGACAAGAAUUCAUGCUUCAGUUGGUGAACAACUCAUCAAAAAAUUCGAUGACAAGCUAUGCGAGGGAGAUGCGAUUAUCCUCCAGUUGUUCAAAGUGUACGAUGCUAUUGGUGAAUACCGUACAACGCCACAUCCUUACAAAAUUGGCUUCUUUCAAACAACAUUUGUUGGAAAAGAUGAUGAUUUUCCAAGUGCAGUUCCCGAAAAGUAUUUCGCGGACUUCUCUGAUAUUCUUGGUGGAAAUCUGGAUCAUAGCUGUUUGGUUGAUGUGGUUGGCAAAAUAGUUAACUUCGGGUCUCUGGAAAACAAAAUAAUAAAAGAAAAAGACAACAUGAGGCUCUUGGUUGAGUUGCGUGACCCAAAGUAAGACUAAGUUCUUAAUCUUAGUUAUACUUUGCUAGCUAAACCUCUAUAACCUGUAUUAAGCUCAUGUUUUAUAUUAUAUAGUAAUGUGAAGAUGAUGUGUACUCUGUGGGGUUGUUAUGCUAAACAAAUAUACGAUUACAGUAGGAGUAACAUGUUCACCAUGAUUAUUUGUGUUAUCAGAUUCUGUUCUGUUAAAGAGUAGAAAGGUAUAUAAUAUUGUUUCAGUUUGUGUAAAAUUAUUGCUCGCAUAACAUAUUAAUAAGAUCAAAAUACUUUGUAGGUGCUUACUCCAUAUCUAGCGGGUAUAAUUCAACUCAUAUUCUCCUCAACCUAACACUUGAAUUUAUUGAGGAGUUCAAAGCAAGGUACGUCUUAUGCGUCUUACGUUCCAGACCUAUUGAGGAGUUCAAUACAUAUAGAUGUACCUUCUUAAUUUUUGAACGUCAUUUUCACUGAAACGUUUUUAAAUUAUGUGUGAUUAUUUGAUUUGGCAGUCUCCCUGAUGAUUCACUUGCUCUUAUAAACAACGAUAGUAGCCAAUGGUCUGUUGGUAAUGCUACAUCUAUUCGUGCCAGGUUUUUUUUUCUUAAUGAAAAGCUAACCAUCAGAGAGAUCAUUGAUAGUACUCUGUUAUAUAGACUACACCCUUCGCUUUUAAAUUUUUUACACAUGCGUAUACUCCAUGUGUGAUCAAUGCUUUUAACAUAUGUUCAUUGACGAGUAGGUUGGCACAUUUAUUGUAAACCACUUUAUGCGUAUACUCCAAGUAUUGUUUAUUUGUAAUUGCACUUAAUGUACCUCAUUCGUUAAUUCGUUUGUUAUUAACUUAUCUUAUUUUGAAUAAGGUAUCUUUCGGAAGUUGAUAUUAUAUUUAUUGUAAACCACUUUAUGUAAAUGUCAAUAUUAUAUCUUUCUUAAAACUGUUUAAAAAAAUACUUGGCCAAUAUUCAUAUCCACAUCCCAAACACUACGUAUAUUUAACAUCUUACGGUGAGGAAGGUGAAUUACUUGACCCAUACGUAAUUCAAUCAAGAUUUAUGAAGAUAUCAAAUUAAUUGUGCUUCUACCUAUUAGAUCAGAUGUCAUCAUUGUAUUUAGAAAGUAAAUAGAUUUCAUAAUUAAUGUCAAAGUAAAGUCAAUCAUUUAUAUUUACUUUGAGUAUGGAGUUGGUAAAUAUUUUUUUUAUUAAUUACAAUUGAUAACAAAUUUAUGAUUACGAGUAAAUAUGGGUAGAUGAUAUAUGCAUAAUAGUUUUACGGACCCAAUUUAUGUAACAUAUAGAAAUUUAGCUUGAUAGACACACUAUUUAUAAAAUAACGUUUAUAUAACAACACAUAUUUCAACCUAAAGAGUUCGUAUAACCUAAUUUUGUCGCCUGAUCAUAGAGAUGUCUACUUUCAGCACAGUUUCAGAGUUCGGGCCUUACAAAGAGAUAUGUCAUAUUAAUGUUCAGAUUAUCCGUCUAUGGAAUAACUAUAUCGCAGCUGAUCGAUAUUUUAUUGAGUUGCUGCUAUGCAAUGCGUUUGUAAGAUAUACACUUUCAUAGACUUUAGUAUACCAAAGUAUUUAUUACCACCGACCUAUAGAUUUCUCCCUAAUAUGAAUUUUUAACUUGCAGUGAGACAAGAUUCAUGCUUCUAUAGGUAGUGCUUUGGUAGCACCAUAUGAGCGAAGACUCAAAAAAGGGUUAUGGACAAGUUUUGGAAAAUUUUCAGUUGUCCAAUGGGGAGGUGCAUUCAUUUCUCAAGCACUUAUUCUGUUACGGUCAUAUCUAUCCAUACCAUUUUUUAACUGAUAUUUUCCCUCAAUUAUUUUUUCUAGACGUCAUAGGUCAAAUAGUUGAGAUCAUCAAUGUGGAGAUUGUUUCUCUCAAUGGAAAAGACACUGAGAAGAUAACACUGGAGCUCCAUAAUCAGUUGUAUGUUUUUCUUUUCUUAAAAAUGAUCCAGCGCUUAUUCAUAGUAUCACAUUU